Molecule: non-coding RNA, 284 nt
Organism: Pelobates cultripes (western spadefoot toad)
Lineage: Eukaryota; Metazoa; Chordata; Amphibia; Anura; Pelobatidae
Source: the annotation of a GenBank genome assembly
GGGAUGUCCUGAUAUGUGUGUAAGGAAUGCAUUGUGUGAAAUUGUGUUUGUAUGUGUAAGGACUGCAAGGUGUGUUUCUGUGUAUGUAUGGGAUGCAUUGAAUGUGUGUAAGGGGUGCAUUGUGUGUUUCUGUGUGUGUAAGGGAUGCAUUGUGUGUAACGGUUGCAUUGCUUGUGUAUGUGUGUCUGUGUGCAAGGGGUGCAUUGUGUGUAUGUGAUGAAUGUCAAUCUCUCCUCCCGCUCCAAUUUCCUUCUCCUCCUCCCAAUUUCUCUUUCUCACCCCCC